This 5260-nucleotide long non-coding RNA is filed under the name Homo sapiens (human). Its description in RNAcentral is "HSALNT0304183". Lineage: Eukaryota; Metazoa; Chordata; Mammalia; Primates; Hominidae. The record is from RNAcentral.
CACAGGCUUCAUAAAGCCUAAAAAACUUCAGACUGAGAGGAAAAGACCCCAGUCAAGAUGGGUGCGGCUGUUGUCAUCAGCACACAGUGGUGAACCUGGAGCUGUGAAAUGGAGGAGGAGAAAGAGGAAAGGAGCCUGCAUCCCAGAUGACACGACCGAGCUGCUGACCCAGAUCGCAGGACACGAGAUAGUGCAUUUCCCUUCUGUUAAGUAAUUUCUGUAGUUACCGAAUCUGGAAGGAAAACUAAGAGGCCACCAGGCAGGCCGUGUGAUGGAAGGAGUGAGGGGAGAAGGAGCAUCCAUGCAGAGGGAACAGCAUGUGCAAAGAUGAGGGUCAGUGAGGACGUGGUUUGUACAGUUUCAAGGCACAGCAACUGUCGGUUGUGAGAGAUGCUUCUGCUACCACUUCUAUUGCUCACGGCAAGGCAAAAUGUCAGUCUAGAUUCAAGGAGGUGGAGAAAUAGAUUCCACUUCCUGAUGAGAGAAGAAUGAAUGCAGAGUUUGCAACUCGUCUGUUAAAGGGAAUGACAAAGAUGCAAGAAGAGUUAAACUAAAGUUCAUUCAGCUGGCAGUAUCCAAUCCAGUGGUGGGUGGCAGCAGUGCCAGGAAUAGCAUUCAGGCAGCAGCAUUAAUAGUGACAUUUUUUGUUUUUCAGAAUGUUUUAGGGUAGAACCUUGGCCAUAUUUCCAGCUUACCAGUUUCCCUUGUUUUCACCUAUUUUCUGAGCCUGAUUUUUCAGACUUCCCAUUCACUUUGGAGUUGCAUGAUAUCCUUUUAAUAAAUGCCCUUUCUGCUUAAUUUAGCCAGAGGCUGCUUCUGUUGUUUGCCUCUAAGGGUGCUGACUGAUUCUUUGGUCAAUAAGAUAAUCACCAAGGACUGUACAGUAAAAUAAACAAGAUAAUUUACUAAAGAGGAAAUGCAGGUGAUGAACAGCAGAGACCCAAUCAUCAUGGAAGCAGCCCAGAGAUGAGUCACAGCAGGAAGCCACUCCACCAUCAGGGCUGCAGAAAGUGGCAUUGGGAGAGGGCAGAGGAUGGGCACUUGGUGGCAGCUAGAAUCAUGGAGGAGAUGCAGCUACUGAUGCAAAACUGCUUCCUGAAGGAGAGAGAUGGUCAAGUACCCUGCCUUAUCCCUUCUUUUCACUACCCUGUCUCUUGCUGGUGUCUCCCACCGGCCAUAUCCAGCUGGAAGCCAAUUGCCAAUGGAACCAUGGACAGGAAAUGGAUCUGAGUAGAUGGACAAUGACCACCACACAGCAUGAUCUCGACUAGAUAAACAUGAUGCAUGUUAAAUGGUAUUACUUCUGCUGACAGGGCGAUAUAUGGCUUUUAGUUUCCUAUGUUUUUCUGUAUUUUCUAAAGAAACUGAACAAUAUUAUUAAAAUUAAAUAAGUGGAAAGUGUGUUUGUGGCAGAUACAAUAACGUUUUUAAAAAGAUAAUGUGUACGUAGGGAAAGAUGGGAUGUUGUUAAACAACAGACUUUUAUAUGCUGUGUCUCCCCGUGCUCCCUCCAGCUUUAGUCAGUGGCCCUAAAAGGGCUAGUGUCCUGGCUGCAUGGGGCCAGCAGGGGGCGAUCCAGUCUAGCACAAGGCCUUCCUUGACCGGCGGACUGUGGCUGGGAUUUCCUUGCAUUUCAGAGCAGGACCCUAGGGCAGGUGUCAUCCUGUCAGCUAGCUCCUGCCCCCAAGAGGUUUGUCUCUGUCAGCCUCUAACUCAGAGCUGACCCUUCCUCCCAUUUCAGGCAGGCUCUUACCAGGACUCAUGAGAAAGCCAAGCCAAGCACCACUGGCACUCGAGGGUCCUUCCUUGUCCCUUUGGGUGAUUGGCACGGUUGUCCACUGAGCCCAGAGCCUCACUGUGCUCAUUAGGUGUAGCCUAAGGGCACUUGCAUGGAGGUGCCAGUGGUCACUGCUUAGAGCUCUCAGCCCUAGAUGGCGUAUCACAGUUAAUGCUCUAUAAAACCCAUCAUGGCUUUUCCCUAGUAAGCCUCAAAUCGCUGCAAGCAAGGCUUCAUAUAUGAGAGUUUCUGCUGUCUCCUGGAGCCAUCUCACCCAAAGCCACUGACUCUGGGAGACCAGCCCAGGCCACAAACCAGCAAAGCACCAGUUAUAGUUAGAGCUGCAUUAUAAAGUGGCCAGAGGACAUUUCUUUGCAGUGAGAUGUGUAUCGUGAACGUUUGGGGCCUGUGCUCGCCUAGUCCUCAUCUUUGCUUUUCUAGGUACACAAAGCCAUCCCAUGGCUGCAAAUGUUAGCUGGGCUGGGCUCCCUACUUGCCUCAAGCCCCUUCAUAGACCCUUCAGGCACAUGCUUUUCUCUGGACGUUUACAGACAGGUCCUCAGAGGUCAGAGCAGGUUGUCCUAGGGAGCAGGGAGGCUUCCUAGGGAGGUCAGACUCCAAAUAGUGGAUAUGGCAAAAAUGCAGCUGCAGACUCAUGAGGAGUCGCCCUGGGCUGCCACUAGGGCUCCCACAGUGUGCGCUGCCAACCUGCUGCCCGUGCAGAAACUCUAGGGUAAGAGCUGGCUCCUGGAGUCCCACCCAGGCUGCGUGUCCCUCACAGUCUGCUCUGUGUCUAUGUGUGUGUGUUGGGGGGAUAUUAUUGGACAAUUCAAGGGAGGCUCAGUGAGGAGGAAGGAAAAUUUCAUGUAAUUCUUUCUGGUUUGUCUUUCUCAACCCCCUCCUCCUGCCUACUCCUUAACUGAGAGAGUGUACUAUUAUUUGUGUGACCCUUUUUUUCCUCCAAUACACAUAGAAGGUUGUAUAAUUAUGCUUUUCUGUUUUGGAAAAUGACUUAAAAUCAUGUAAAGAAAAAGCUUACUUAGGUGAAAUGUAGAUAAAGAGAUUGUGUCAGCAAAAUAUAAUUCUUAAGGGUAACAAGGGCCAUGGACGCAAUUUUAAUUGUGAAAAAUAAGCAGGAUUUCAUCAAAGUAAACUACUGCAGGUGAGAAAAGUUGAACUGCUGUAAAUAAGCAUUAUCCUGGGCUGAUAAUGCUUACAAAUGUUGAUCCUGAAAAUUCUUCAGGUACCUUUCAGAGCUGAGAGUUGUGCUCUCUGGGGUGACACUCAAAGGAAAUUGGGUCCUUUUUUAAGCAUAAUCUUCUUGGGUUUUUAGUACAUUCUUAUUUUUUAUUGAAAUAUACAAUGAAAAUUCAUCAUAAUACACUCUUACUCCUAAAAGAGAUUGCUGUAUCAUAGGACAUGUGUGCAUAUGAAAUUUUAUAUUUAUGUUGAAAAGUUUUGAGGAGAAAAGAAGAAUCCUUUCUCUAAGUAACUUUAUAGAUUUUGUUUUUAAUUGCACGCAUACAACAAGUUCUCAUUAAUUAUAAAUUCAGUUCGUGGGCAAAAUAUAUUUUCUGUGUGCCCCUUUCUAUAGGAAACUUGCUGGAUUAUUUCUAAUUCUGAGUCUGUAUCUGAGUAAUAAUGACAAUAAGUAAAUGAUCCCAAAUAUAUUUAUAUAAGUAAGAGAUUGCAUUCUAGAACUUAUUUUUUGAAUAAUUUUCUAUAAUUAAAAUGACAAACACUUUUGCAAUCUGAAUUUCAUAGUAAGGAUAAUUCUAAACAAAUUUUGAAAGUUUUGGUUUUAGAAGAAGUUCAAGAACUAUUUGGCUCUGCACGGAGAGCUUACACAAGUUGUAUCUCUAAGCCCUAGCUUCUUGCUAUGCCUUUAUUAACAUACCAGUUUUGGGGUUAAAAACCUACUUUAGAGCUAAAAUAUUUUAUUAAAAAUUUAAAAAACCUACUUUAGAGAUAAAUAUUUUAUUAAAAAUUUAUCAGCCUGGGGGAUAUGGAGUGGUAGAGAGAAUUACUUCCCAUGGCUGCUCCCUUGCACUGUUUGAAUAUUUUACCAAAUGCAUGCAUUGCCUUUCCAAAAGAAAUGGAAAUAUUUUCAAUAAUCAAAUCAGUAAAAUUUCUGAUGCUUUUCAGUUUUUUAUACCUACUUUUGCCUUUUUGAAUAUUCUCAAGAAUGGAACUAGACAAAUGUAAGUGAUAAAUUAGAGAGAAGUGACUUUAACUUAAACAUGCAUCUGUGCCCAGACAUACCCUUGUUAAUUUAUUAAUAUUUUAGACAAUUGUCAGAAUCUAAAGUAUUUCCAGUUCUCAAUCUAGAAUGGCUAAGCUUAUUUUUAUGGUUCUACAUGCCACUUGACAAUAAAAGAUCAUUUAUGAUUCUAAGAAGCAUUUGUCUCUCAAGUGGCAUUGUAAAUCAGUACAAUCUUUUGAAAAGGAAUUUAGUAACACAUUUCAAAGGCCAUGAAAAUUCCACUCCCUGUAAGUGAAUGAUUUCAGUAAAUUUAAAAGUCAAACAUUAGAAGGCAUGCCAUGUUGCCUUUCACAAAAAUAAUUCUGCUACCAUCCCUGGAAGCUGUUGUUAGAAGGUCAUGUUCAAUAAGCUUACAAUGUUUUCCUGAUUGUUGUUUGUGUGACCAUUAAAAUUUCACCAGUAUUGGGGAAUUUUUACCUUUCAGAUCAUUUAGUUCCAACUGUUAGGAAGCAAUUAGCUCUUAUGUUCUUCUGGUUCGUGAAAGUAUUUUACUUUGGGUGCAGGAGUAGGGUCUCUGGGGCCAUGGAAUGAUCCACACAGGCCCUGGCAUGGGAGGGACUGGUUCCAUCUCAAUCUGAAAAUCAGACAAAGGUUUAUUUCUUACUUCUGUUAUGCAAUGUUGGCAGGUUGUUCUGACUCUUUUCCAGUUCCUGAAUAUUACUUGUUGUAUAAUAAAAAUGAUAUUCUAACUAAAAAUUUUAAAGAAAAAAAUUUGCAAUCUUGCAGUUUAAUGCAACCAUAGUCUUAGCAUUUUUGUCUGUGUUCUCUUUUCAAUCUUUGUUUAUAAACAUAUAUGUUUCUACAUAGAGCUGAUUGUAAGAGGUAUAGAAUUCCACACUUUAUAAAUGCCUUGUUAAUUUAUUGUUUUCCAUGUUGUCACAUAGACUUCAGGGGUCUCCUCUCAACUGACUGCAAAUUACUCACUGAGUUGGUGCCCCAUUAUGUCCUCGGUCAUUUCCCCUAUCGUUGAGCAUUUACAACUUUUCUAAUGAUUGACUUUUAAAUUUCUUGAAAUUAUUGAGUUAAAGGGAGCAGAAUUUUAACAACUUUUGUUAUGUGUCACUAAAUCCCUUUUCAAAAGAUUGUACUGAUUUACAAUGCCAAUUAAAUGUUUUACAAGUAUUAUUUUCCAACUAUGUGAGGAUUAUUUUUGUUUAUUUCCAUAUAUCUCUAUCUCUCCUCUCCAACCAGCCAAAAAAUAAAAAUAAAAAUAAAAAUAA